This 268-nucleotide long non-coding RNA is filed under the name Ananas comosus (pineapple). RNAcentral describes it as "long non-coding RNA (ACOM_LNC011914)". Lineage: Eukaryota; Viridiplantae; Streptophyta; Magnoliopsida; Poales; Bromeliaceae. The record is from RNAcentral.
UGUGUGAAAACGGACGGCGUCGGGGAGGUGGAAACCGUAGCCGCGCCCUCUUGCUCCCGGCGCCGGGCAGGGCGGCGGCGGAGGAGGACGACGAUGCUUGUCGUCGUCGACUCGCGAGCCGAUUUUUUGGCCGAAUUAUUCGCGAAUAGCGAAUAAUUCGCGGAUAAUUUUUUUUGGAGAAAAAAACGCGUUUUUUUUCGCACUUUUGGGAAAAAUACGUUUCAUGCCGUUUAAUUCGGCUAAUCAAAAAUUCGAGAAUAAUUCGCGU